GUGGGUGUAGCUCAAUUGGUUAGAGCACUGGGUUGUGGCCCCAGAGGUCGUCGGUUCGAGCCCGAUCACUCACC
Molecule: transfer RNA, 74 nt
Filed under: Syntrophobacteraceae bacterium
Lineage: Bacteria; Pseudomonadati; Thermodesulfobacteriota; Syntrophobacteria; Syntrophobacterales; Syntrophobacteraceae
Description: tRNA-His
Rfam family: tRNA
About the family: Transfer RNA (tRNA) molecules are approximately 80 nucleotides in length. Their secondary structure includes four short double-helical elements and three loops (D, anti-codon, and T loops).
Source: RNAcentral